Molecule: ribosomal RNA, 272 nt
Filed under: uncultured bacterium
Lineage: Bacteria
Description: partial 16S ribosomal RNA
Rfam family: Bacterial small subunit ribosomal RNA
Source: RNAcentral
AGCGAACGCUGGCGGCAUGCUUAACACAUGCAAGUCGCACGGGCAGCUUCGGCUGUCAGUGGCGGACGGGUGAGUAACGCGUAGGUAUCUAUCCUUGGGUGGGGACGAACCACGGGAACGUAGUGGCUAAUACCGCAUGACGACUGAGGUCCAAAGGACCGAAAGGUCGCCUGAGGAGGAGCCUGCGUCCGAUUAGCUUGUUGGGUGGGGUAACGGCCUACCAAGGCUCCGANCGGUAGCUGGUCUGAGAGGAUGAUCAGCCACACUGGGAC